GUGAAGAACGUAGCGAAAUGCGAUAAGUAAUGUGAAUUGCAGAAUUCAGUGAAUCAUCGAAUCUUUGAACGCACCUUGCGCUCCUUGGUAUUCCGAGGAGCAUGCCUGUUUGAGUGUCAUGAAAUUCUCAACCUUUUCAGCUUUCUUUGUUGAUCAGGCUUGGAUGUGGGAGUAUGUGGGCUUCUCAGAAGUCGGCUCUCCUGAAAUGCAUUAGCGGGACCUUUGUUGCCUGGCUUUGGUGUGAUAAUUAUCUACGCCAUUGUAGUCAAGCAGCUUAAAAUGAGGUUUCAGCUUCUAACCGUCUCCCCUGAGACAACUUUUUGACAAUUUGACCUCAAAUCAGGUAGGACUACCCGCUGAACUUAAGCAUAUCAAUAAGCGGAGGA
RNAcentral lists this unclassified non-coding RNA (386 nucleotides) under soil metagenome. RNAcentral's name for it is "partial contains 5.8S ribosomal RNA, internal transcribed spacer 2, and large subunit ribosomal RNA". The stretch from base 2 to 119 matches the Rfam family "5.8S ribosomal RNA", at positions 37 to 154 of the family's 154-position model. The record is from RNAcentral.